Molecule: transfer RNA, 75 nt
Filed under: Cordylochernes scorpioides
Lineage: Eukaryota; Metazoa; Arthropoda; Arachnida; Pseudoscorpiones; Chernetidae
Description: tRNA-Thr
Source: RNAcentral
UGUCCAGGGAUGGGAAUCGAACUUACAAUGUUCCGCUUACUGGGCAGAUGCCAUGUCUACUAGGCUACCAUGGAC